AAAGAAUCAUGUCAUACUGUGUGUCCUACCCUACUGUACCACCACAAAGAAUCAUGUCCUACUGUGUGUCCUACCAUACAUGUCCUCCAUCACUUCCAUUAUAUGAGAAACUCAUGUUAUUAUUACUAUUAUUAUUAAAAACUGUAUCAUGCCAAGCUCAUUAGCUUUUCAUCCACAUUCCCUGUCAUCUCAAAUUUCUAUUGAGUCCUCUGAGAUAUUACAGGUAACGCUGCUUUGAUUGCAUUAUAAAAUUCAUUUAUUCGUUCUUUGAGGUGACUCAGUUGUCUUCCCCUGUUUCGUGAACAAUUUCUUGUGCAUGCCCUAUGAGUCCUUAUACUGAAAAACAUUUUGAAUUCAUUCCCUUUCUUUGAGAAUUAUUACAAGCAUAUAGUGAGACAUUUAAGGAGGAAUAAAUUGUUAUAAUCGCCUAGUCAAAUUGAUGUGAACUAGACAGAUUUAAAACUAAUUUACAACAUUUUAUUUGUUUACCAGAGACAUUUCAAAUCCUUGUUGCCAUUCCUCACAAAGAUAGACUACAAUAAGAUCCUAAAACUUGAGCCUGCUACAAACAAUGCAAUGCAAGAUCUCUUAGAUGAAUCGUUAAGGCAUAACGUCUGCAGAUUUUGUCGUGGAAGGCCUGUCAACUGGCGACUAGUUUGUUGUGGACAUGUUUCUUGUGACACCUGCCUGGCUUCUCGUCUGACGUGUGGGUGUGGUGCGGCCUACAAGCAAUGCAGACCACUAAACAAUAUUUGAGAAACAAUCACAGGAUGUUCCCUAAAACAAAUACACAUUUAGAUCACAGCAUGCAGAAGAUGUCCUUAGAAACAGUAUUAAAUAGAUGUGAUGAUUGUAUUUGUAUACGGUAUUGUGGUUGAUAGAAUCUUGGUUGUAAGAUUUAACGAAUUCUAGGUUUAUUUAUUAUUAUUUCGUUGGUCUGUUAGUUAAAGUAGACUGACGUCCCUUGAGAGAUUGUUAUAGUUGUCAGAGGCCAGAGUUUUGAGACCAAUAGUUGAAAUACAGUUUAAGGCAGUCUAGUAGUUUGUUGUAUAUAUAAUAGUUCAAAAUUUGAUGGCAUUGUGUACAGUUACAGUCCUUUCGACUUUAAUAAAAUAUAUAUUCUGUUCUUAAUUAA
Molecule: long non-coding RNA, 1135 nt
Organism: Biomphalaria glabrata
Lineage: Eukaryota; Metazoa; Mollusca; Gastropoda; Planorbidae
Exons: 3
Source: RefSeq, a predicted model, not a curated record